Molecule: ribosomal RNA, 282 nt
Filed under: Melissococcus plutonius
Lineage: Bacteria; Bacillati; Bacillota; Bacilli; Lactobacillales; Enterococcaceae
Description: partial 16S ribosomal RNA
Rfam family: Bacterial small subunit ribosomal RNA
Source: RNAcentral
AACUGGAGGAAGGUGGGGAUGACGUCAAGUCAUCAUGGCCCUUACGACCAGGGCUACACACGUGCUACAAUGGCGCAUACAAAGAGAAGCGACCUCGCGAGAGCAAGCGGACCUCAUAAAGUGCGUCGUAGUCCGGAUUGGAGUCUGCAACUCGACUCCAUGAAGUCGGAAUCGCUAGUAAUCGUGGAUCAGAAUGCCACGGUGAAUACGUUCCCGGGCCUUGUACACACCGCCCGUCACACCAUGGGAGUGGGUUGCAAAAGAAGUAGGUAGCUUAACCUU